Molecule: transfer RNA, 58 nt
Filed under: Dipodomys ordii (Ord's kangaroo rat)
Lineage: Eukaryota; Metazoa; Chordata; Mammalia; Rodentia; Heteromyidae
Rfam family: tRNA
About the family: Transfer RNA (tRNA) molecules are approximately 80 nucleotides in length. Their secondary structure includes four short double-helical elements and three loops (D, anti-codon, and T loops).
Source: Rfam by way of RNAcentral
UGGCUCAGUGGUAGAGCACUUGCCUUGCAUGCCAGAGGCCCUGAGUUCGAUUCCUUAG